RNAcentral lists this unclassified non-coding RNA (349 nucleotides) under fungal sp. Its description in RNAcentral is "partial internal transcribed spacer region". The stretch from base 1 to 46 matches the Rfam family "Eukaryotic small subunit ribosomal RNA", at positions 1786 to 1831 of the family's 1831-position model. Lineage: Eukaryota; Fungi. The record is from RNAcentral. RNAcentral also lists the same sequence under 1 other name.
AAGUCGUAACAAGGUUUCCGUAGGUGAACCUGCGGAAGGAUCAUUAACACGUAUCCAACGUUAAACAACCCUGUGAACUUUCAACACCGCCGGAAUGAGAUUAAUUUCCAACUCCGGUGAAGGCAAGUGACCUGGCACCUGGACCACAUCAAAGCUCUGACAGAGUGCCUCUGGAUCGUGCUUGAAGGGUGACGCAGUAACGAUCGCUGGAGGCCCACACGGCCGGCGACUGGGUCAGCGAGCUAACGCUCCCUCAACAACCACUUAACAUGACGACAGUUCCUCUUUAACUUGAGUUGAGCUAUAACAAAAAACUAUACAACUGUUAACAAUGGAUAUCUUGGUUCUC